GAUGAACGCUGACAGAAUGCUUAACACAUGCAAGUCAACUGUGGCGGACGGGUGAGUAACGCGUAAAGAACUUGCCUCACAGCUAGGGACAACAUUUGGAAACGAAUGCUAAUACCUGAUACUGUGAGAGAGCUUUGCGUCCCCUUAGCUAGUUGGAGAGGUAACGGCUCACCAAGGCGAUGAUGGUUAGCCGGCCUGCGAGGGUGAUCGGCCACAAGGGGACUGAGAGACGGGCGUUAGUGCAACGUGAGGCAGGAGUGGGAAAUAUUGGACAAUGGACCAAAGUCUGAUCCAGCAAUUCUGGGUGCAAGAUGAAGUUUUCGGAAGGUAAAGGGCUUUCAGUUGAGAAGCGGUACCAACAGAAGAAGUAACGGCUAAAUCCGUGCCAGCAGCCGCGGUAAUAC
This 404-nucleotide ribosomal RNA is filed under the name uncultured bacterium. RNAcentral describes it as "partial 16S ribosomal RNA". It matches the Rfam family "Bacterial small subunit ribosomal RNA", at positions 28 to 526 of the family's 1533-position model. The record is from RNAcentral.